CAGCCGCGGGCGAUGCGUCGAAAGGCGCCGCCUGAGGAAAGUCCGAGCUUCGCAGGGCAGGAUAACGGCUAACGGCCGCCGAGGGUGACCUUAGGGAAAGUGCAACAGAAAUAUACCGCCGCGACCCGUUCGCGGUAAGGGUGGAACGGCGAGGUAAGAGCUCACCGGCGCGCAGGAGACUGCGCGGCCCUGUAAACCCUAUCCGAAGCAACACCGUGGAGGGACAUAUGCGCUGGCCCGGCGCGUCCUGUGGAGGUGGCAUGAGCUGCGCGGCAACGUGCAGUCGAGAUAGAUGGCUGUUCUCGACAGAACUCGGCUUACCGAUUCA
This 328-nucleotide RNase P RNA is filed under the name human gut metagenome. RNAcentral describes it as "Bacterial RNase P class A". It matches the Rfam family "Bacterial RNase P class A". Rfam says of the family: Ribonuclease P (RNase P) is a ubiquitous endoribonuclease, found in archaea, bacteria and eukarya as well as chloroplasts and mitochondria. Its best characterised activity is the generation of mature 5'-ends of tRNAs by cleaving the 5'-leader elements of precursor-tRNAs. RNAcentral also lists the same sequence under 1 other name. The record is from RNAcentral.